AUCCAUUUAAAUCAGUGGUCGGCACACACAUACCAUCAUAAAUUUGCCUAGUAUUAGUUUCUCUGCCGCAGCAGCAAAAAAGCGCGCCGGAGCUGAGAAAAAAAGGACCCGAAGACCCAUUCCGAGGUCAUACGAACAUCUACGUUAUACGUAAGCGAGCAGAGGAUGGGCAUAACACUUCCCUAUGCUCACAAGAUAGGCUGCUGCCGACCGCUGAUUGAAAUUGUGCGCAGCAGAGUUUCUUUAAUCCUUUCUUCAAGUUAAAAUAAUAAAGUCAUGUAUUUAAUGGGUUUCAUUAGAUGAAAGUGGAUUAUGAAAUGUUUUGUGCCAGUAAAAGUCCCGCAAAGGGUAAUACACAGCUCUAAAAGG
Drosophila subpulchrella is the source of this 369-nucleotide long non-coding RNA. RefSeq lists it as uncharacterized. Lineage: Eukaryota; Metazoa; Arthropoda; Insecta; Diptera; Drosophilidae. The record is from RefSeq and is a predicted model, not a curated record. The transcript has 3 exons.